This is a non-coding RNA of Eubacterium sp., 179 nucleotides long. It matches the Rfam family "6S / SsrS RNA". From Rfam's summary of the family: E. coli 6S RNA was the first non coding RNA to be sequenced, but its function was unknown until recently. It consists of 184 nucleotides that fold into an extended hairpin structure with a large single-stranded internal bulge. NCBI's taxonomy places the organism in Bacteria, Bacillati, Bacillota, Clostridia, Eubacteriales, Eubacteriaceae. The record is from Rfam.
AUUUGCCUGGAACAUGCGUUAAGGGCUCUUAAUUGAACCUACAGCUUUUUUUAGGGAAUCCGGAGUUCCCGGGCGGAUGUCAAGCCUCCUCAGAGAGGACGGCAGAAGCACAGGACAGGAUACCCACCUAUCAUUUUUGAUAGGCGUCAAUUAAGUCCUGACGGUGUCCUGGGUUUUUU